Long non-coding RNA from Mauremys reevesii (Reeves's turtle), 1622 nucleotides. RefSeq lists it as uncharacterized. NCBI's taxonomy places the organism in Eukaryota, Metazoa, Chordata, Testudines, Geoemydidae. The record is from RefSeq and is a predicted model, not a curated record. The transcript is spliced from 5 exons.
AAGCCCCAACUUUGAUGGGGGCUCAGCUUCUGUCUCUGUAGCAGAGAGCCUGGAAGCCCUGAGAUCCCUGCUCUAGCCAGGGCUCUUAGACUAGGCCUGGCAAUCCGGUAGGCAGGUUGCCCCUUUGGGACACCGAGGGUUAAACAGCUGGCUUGCUUUCUGAGUGGGCCUCAGUCAGGGCAGGUGAGCCUCAUCUCCUAAUCUGAAUCAUCCCAGCACUGCAGCCACCUGCUCCCCUUCCCCUUGCAGGCGGUGCUGGGAGACCAGAGCAGGGGAAAGCACAGAGUGGGGUUGAGGUGGCUUGGAAAGGAGUUUGGUGUAUCCAAGUGGAGUAGCUGCUGCCAGUGGUGCGGAGGGCACUCUUGGCGCUGGAAAUCCCUAUAUCCUGGGGUCUGCGGCCCAAAAUCCGAGGCACUCUAAGCGGUGGUGCUGGGGAAUGUCAGGCUAGCUGGGCCAGCACAGCUAAUGGUGUCUCAAAGGUCUGUUGCUGGUUUGUGAUGCUCCUCUUCUAGAUCAAUCAAUAAAUGGCCAUUUGUAGCCAUGUGGACUUUUGGCCUGGAGGUCACAAAUACCUGUUGGUGGGGCAUCACGCCGCCUCUGAAGUGACAGACUCUCUUCAUUAACCUCGGUCUGGGUGAGCAGUCCCUGAUCUGACGCAGCCAGGAGCAUCGCUGUACUGGGAGAAGCAUGAAACUGGAGCAGGGAGGCCAAGCCGCAGGGUGUUGGCUCUGCUGGAGGCUGUGACUCCACUGAUAAGGCCUGUGUAACAAGCACCGGAGAUCAGGGAUGGAGCCUCUGAAGCAGAUGGAGGGAGUUACGGAACUGCUCUCCCUCAGACUAUCAGUAAGGACACUCCUUUUCCGAAGGAUGAUGUUUAGCACAUUCUGGGAGAGGGUUGAUCUCUCCUGAAAGAUACCGGUUUAGAACAGGACACCUUCUUCUGUUGUGUAACCAGGGGUUGCCCAUGGAGGUACCCAGAGGAUCCACGUUCUGAAGCUUUGGCUCUCCACAGGACCCACAAUAGAUAGAAGAUGUUAACACAGAUGCCCCAUGCCUCCUCUCCAUCGCCCUGGCCCCAAAGUCAGGUGCUUUGCAAAAAAAAAAAAAAAAGUGCCACCAGCGGGGGAAAAGGCCGGAUUGCUCUACAAGACAUGCAUUUCCUUCUGGGGGCGGGGGCGGGGGAAUGUAAAGAAGCCCGAUUUUGGCCCUGGGAUUUGGCAAAGCAGAGCGGCUCACUGAAAAGGGUCAGUUUCCCCAGUGCUAGGGAAAAUGUGUUCUCGGAGCCCAUACUAAAUAACAGCAGCAUGACUCGUGGUCCUGUUACUCCGCAGCCAAAACUGCUCCAUCUCAAUCACCCCACAGAGCGGGAGUAAAGCAAUUGUAUUCAGACACCUGCAAGAUCAACAUUUCCUGUCUAGGAAAUAUGUCUUGGCUUGAAGUUUAUUUUCCUUUCGCAUUUACCUGAGGCAGCCAUUGCUCUGUGGCAAGGGUCUGUUCCUCUGACAUUACAAAAAUGCUUUUGCAUUGGCGUUUGUCAUUUACCAGGGUUGAAAACGGGCAUUGAGGAAAUGCCCUUCUGUUAAUCUCUUCUUGGACAGUCCUCAUAACACACCCCACGCUGU